Molecule: non-coding RNA, 27 nt
Filed under: Mus musculus (house mouse)
Lineage: Eukaryota; Metazoa; Chordata; Mammalia; Rodentia; Muridae
Source: RNAcentral
UUCAUCCAAAGUAAUAAGAAUGAGACC